This 75-nucleotide microRNA precursor is filed under the name Tetraodon nigroviridis (spotted green pufferfish). Its description in RNAcentral is "miRNA (ENSTNIG00000020189.1)". The record is from RNAcentral. Lineage: Eukaryota; Metazoa; Chordata; Actinopteri; Tetraodontiformes; Tetraodontidae.
GUCAGUCGGUCGGUCAGUCGGUCGGUCGGUCGGUCAGUCAGUCGGUCGGUCGGUCGGUCGGUCAGUCAGUCAGUU